RNAcentral lists this ribosomal RNA (253 nucleotides) under uncultured bacterium. RNAcentral describes it as "partial 16S ribosomal RNA". It matches the Rfam family "Bacterial small subunit ribosomal RNA", at positions 524 to 776 of the family's 1533-position model. The record is from RNAcentral.
UACGAACCGAGCGAACGUUGUUCGGAAUCACUGGGCUUAAAGGGCGCGUAGGCGGGCCGCCAAGUCCGUGGUGAAAUCCCCCGGCUCAACCGGGGAAGUGCCUCGGAUACUGGCGGCCUCGAGGGGGGUAGGGGCGUGCGGAACUUCCGGUGGAGCGGUGAAAUGCGUAGAUAUCGGAAGGAACACCGGUGGCGAAAGCGGCGCGCUGGACCCCAUCUGACGCUGAGGCGCGAAAGCCAGGGGAGAAAACGGG